CCUACGGGUGGCAGCAGUGGGGAAUAUUGGGCAAUGGGCGCAAGCCUGACCCAGCAACGCCGCGUGAAGGAAGAAGGCUCUCGGGUUGUAAACUUCUUUUAUCAGGGACGAAGCAAGUGACGGUACCUGAUGAAUAAGCCACGGCUAACUACGUGCCAGCAGCCGCGGUAAUACGUAGGUGGCAAGCGUUAUCCGGAUUUACUGGGUGUAAAGGGCGUGUAGGCGGGAAAGCAAGUCAGAUGUGAAAACCAUGGGCUCAACCUGUGGCCUGCAUUUGAAACUGUUUUUCUUGAGUACUGGAGAGGCAGACGGAAUUCCUAGUGUAGCGGUGAAAUGCGUAGAUAUUAGGAGGAACACCAGUGGCGAAGGCGGCCUGCCAAGCCAUGACUGACGCUGAUGCACGAAAGCGUGGGGAUCAAACAGGAUUAGAUACCCUUGUAGUC
Molecule: ribosomal RNA, 443 nt
Filed under: uncultured bacterium
Lineage: Bacteria
Description: partial 16S ribosomal RNA
Rfam family: Bacterial small subunit ribosomal RNA
Source: RNAcentral